Molecule: long non-coding RNA, 371 nt
Filed under: Helianthus annuus (common sunflower)
Lineage: Eukaryota; Viridiplantae; Streptophyta; Magnoliopsida; Asterales; Asteraceae
Description: hypothetical non coding rna
Source: RNAcentral
ACUCUCGAAAUACACGGCUGAAGGAACAAGGAGCUUUACCGGAGGCUCGCCGGAGUUCGAAGUUCGCCACAUCGGAGGUUCACAACGGAACAGUAUAGCGUUCGCGUUCGGAUAACCGCUCUCGUUUUGUUUGUUCCUUUGGAUUUCUUUACUCGUGCGCUACCUUACAAGAAAUCGCAACGCAAGCAAUUUGAACGUGUUAAUCGCAAUGCCCUUGAGUCUUGGGGUUGUUAGACGAAGUUAUCAAGAAAACAAGCUAGGAUGGCUUUAGAAACCCAUUUCAGCAAUUAAACAAUGCUUGAAUUUAUGUUUACUAUUUGAAACGAUGUAUCACUCUUUAGUUUUAAUAAAAUGGUUUAAUCUAUAUUGUC